RNAcentral lists this ribosomal RNA (253 nucleotides) under uncultured bacterium. RNAcentral describes it as "partial 16S ribosomal RNA". It matches the Rfam family "Bacterial small subunit ribosomal RNA", at positions 524 to 776 of the family's 1533-position model. The record is from RNAcentral.
UACGUAGGUGGCAAGCGUUGUCCGGAAUUAUUGGGCGUAAAGCGCGCGCAGGCGGUCCUUUAAGUCUGAUGUGAAAGCCCACGGCUCAACCGUGGAGGGUCAUUGGAAACUGGGGGACUUGAGUGCAGAAGAGGAAAGCGGAAUUCCACGUGUAGCGGUGAAAUGCGUAGAGAUGGGGGAGAACACUCGUGGCGAAGGCGGCCAGCUAGACCAGUUCUGACACUGAGGCGCGACAGCGUGGGGAGCAAACAGG